GUCUCUGAAGAUGAUUAAUUGAAAACUUUCGUUCUACUGAUGUGAUCAAUGCGGAAAUUUUGAGAUUUAACUGAAGAGGC
Small nucleolar RNA from Macleaya cordata, 80 nucleotides. It matches the Rfam family "Small nucleolar RNA Z159/U59". From Rfam's summary of the family: This family consists of several snoRNA Z159 or U59 sequences which are members of the C/D class of snoRNA which contain the C (UGAUGA) and D (CUGA) box motifs. This family seems to be found exclusively in rice. NCBI's taxonomy places the organism in Eukaryota, Viridiplantae, Streptophyta, Magnoliopsida, Ranunculales, Papaveraceae. The record is from Rfam.